Molecule: non-coding RNA, 1224 nt
Organism: Paramisgurnus dabryanus
Lineage: Eukaryota; Metazoa; Chordata; Actinopteri; Cypriniformes; Cobitidae
Source: RefSeq, a predicted model, not a curated record
UUCAGUUCAUUGACAGUGUGUUUAAUUUUAAAUUUUAAAUUUUUAUUUUAAUGAAAAAAAAAGUUAAUUUCACUUAAUAAAAACUGUGAUAUGAACUCAAAAACUGCAAUUGAUUAACCAUUAUUUAAACUGAAUAAAUAUUGAAUAACUGAAUCCCUCACACACACCGAAAAAAACCCGCGCUUUUAUUUUGACACGCGCCCAUCCCCCCACAUCUCACGGUCGGAGUCAGUUUCACAGAGCAGCGCAGGAGGACGACAGACACUUAAAGAACAUUAACAGUUUAGUUUGAAUCUCUCUCAGUCAGUCAGGGGGAGAUUAACUGACAGACUGUAUAACGUUACACAUCUUACCAAGAAACCAUUAAAAGUUUAGCGCAAAUGUUUCCCGUGGAAGUUUGAAUCUCUCUCAGUCAGGGGGGAGAUUGACUGACAGACUGUCUACUUGCCACCAAACAGUAAUUUACCCUGAAACCUUUUUAAGUAAGGACUAACGUAAACUGACUCUCUGUCUGCUCUCAACCAAACAGUCAUUUAAGACCUUCUAAAGCUUAGCGCAAACGUUUCCUGCGCAAGUUUGAAUCUCUCAGUCAGGGGGGAGAUUGACUGACUGACUGACUGUCUACUCGCCACCAAACGUCAAAAGUCAGUUACACAGAAUCCUUUUAAAGUUUAGCACAAACUUUUUCCGCGCAAGUUUGGAUCUUUACCAUUGAGGGUGGCUGACUGUUCUCGACCAACCAUCAUUCACACGCAAAAACUUUAAAGAUAAGUAUGAACGUGCCCAGAGCAGUUUUCGAUCUUUACCAUUAAGGAGGCUGACUGACUAUCGUCUACCACCCGUCAUUAACACAACAAAAACUAAAGAAAUGUUACUCCAUAUGGACCUAUUCAUUUACUCAUUAUGCUGUGAGUACACCACAGUUUUAUCAGGGAAAAAAUUUAUAUUUGUGUGUUUUCUCAUUGCUUGGCAAGGACAGAUGUGGCCCUGUUAAAAAUGUUUAAAUGUCGUUUGGUUUAAGGAACAGCACACUGAUUUUGUUUUAAAAUAUUCCUGUUUGGACAGUCUGUUAAAGCCAUAAAGGAAUACUUGAUAUAUUUCAUAAGUAAAGUGUAAAUGUAAUAUUAGUUUUUAAUGUUGUGAAUUUGGACUGAACAGCACACUUCUGUUUUAUAUCUAAACCUUUUGUAAAAUAAAUGAUUGUUCAAUAAACUGUGUAUUUUA